UUAGCCAGGCGGGGUGCUAUACAUGCAAGUCGAGCGGACAGAAGGGAGCUUGCUCCCGGAUGUUAGCGGCGGACGGGUGAGUAACACGUGGGUAACCUGCCUGUAAGACUGGGAUAACUCCGGGAAACCGGAGCUAAUACCGGAUAGUUCCUUGAACCGCAUGGUUCAAGGAUGAAAGACGGUUUCGGCUGUCACUUACAGAUGGACCCGCGGCGCAUUAGCUAGUUGGUGGGGUAAUGGCUCACCAAGGCGACGAUGCGUAGCCGACCUGAGAGGGUGAUCGGCCACACUGGGACUGAGACACGGCCCAGACUCCUACGGGAGGCAGCAGUAGGGAAUCUUCCGCAAUGGACGAAAGUCUGACGGAGCAACGCCGCGUGAGUGAUGAAGGUUUUCGGAUCGUAAAGCUCUGUUGUUAGGGAAGAACAAGUGCGAGAGUAACUGCUCGCACCUUGACGGUACCUAACCAGAAAGCCACGGCUAACUACGUGCCAGCAGCCGCGGUAAUACGUAGGUGGCAAGCGUUGUCCGGAAUUAUUGGGCGUAAAGGGCUCGCAGGCGGUUUCUUAAGUCUGAUGUGAAAGCCCCCGGCUCAACCGGGGAGGGUCAUUGGAAACUGGGAAACUUGAGUGCAGAAGAGGAGAGUGGAAUUCCACGUGUAGCGGUGAAAUGCGUAGAGAUGUGGAGGAACACCAGUGGCGAAGGCGACUCUCUGGUCUGUAACUGACGCUGAGGAGCGAAAGCGUGGGGAGCGAACAGGAUUAGAUACCCUGGUAGUCCACGCCGUAAACGAUGAGUGCUAAGUGUUAGGGGGUUUCCGCCCCUUAGUGCUGCAGCUAACGCAUUAAGCACUCCGCCUGGGGGAGUAGGGUCGCAAGACUGAAACUCAAAGGAAUUGACAGGGGGCGCGCACAAGCGGUGGAGCAUGUGGUUUAUUCGAAGCAACGCGAGAACCUUACCAGGUCUUGACAUCCUCUGACACCCUAGAGAUAGGGCUUUCGCUUCCGGGACAGAGUGACAGGUGGUGCAUGGUUGUCGUCUCUCGUGUCGUGAGAUGUUGGGUUAAGUCCGCACCACCGCAACCCUUGAUCUUAGUUGCCAGCAAUUAGUUGGGUACUGUAAAGAUGACUUCGGUGACGACCGGAGGAAAGUAGGAUGACGUCGAUCAUCAUGCGCGUACUACCUUGCCCUAGCAGCGUGCGUUCCAUUGGACUGAGCCAUGGACUGCCAACCGCAAGCCUUAAGUGCAAUCCCGAUAAACCUCGUGUUUCUCAGAGAUG
This 1280-nucleotide ribosomal RNA is filed under the name Bacillus sp. (in: firmicutes). RNAcentral describes it as "bacterial SSU rRNA". It matches the Rfam family "Bacterial small subunit ribosomal RNA", at positions 30 to 1303 of the family's 1533-position model. Lineage: Bacteria; Bacillati; Bacillota; Bacilli; Caryophanales; Bacillaceae. RNAcentral also lists the same sequence under 1 other name. The record is from RNAcentral.